This 565-nucleotide ribosomal RNA is filed under the name uncultured Pirellula sp. RNAcentral describes it as "bacterial SSU rRNA". It matches the Rfam family "Bacterial small subunit ribosomal RNA", at positions 8 to 484 of the family's 1533-position model. The record is from RNAcentral. Lineage: Bacteria; Pseudomonadati; Planctomycetota; Planctomycetia; Pirellulales; Pirellulaceae.
AGAGUUUGAUCAUGGCUCAGAAUGAACGUCGGCGGCGUGGAUUAGGCAUGCAAGUCGAGCGGUAGGGAGUUCCUCACUCUGUGCUUUCCUGCGAUCUGGUUAGAUCGCGGUUAUUACAAUAGCCGCGAUCCCAACGGGUCGCCGGCGAGAGCGCAGCGUGAGGGACUCCUGAGAGCGGCGAAAGGGAGAGUAACGCGUAGUUACGUACCCCGAGGACCGGAAUAGCCACGGGAAACUGUGGGUAAUGCCGGAUAAUAUCUUGGGCCGAAAGGCCCCGAAUCAAAGGUGUGAUUCCGCCUCGGGAGCGGACUGCGUCCUACUAGCUAGUUGGCGGGGUAAUGGCCCACCAAGGCGACAAUGGGUAGCGGGCGUGAGAGCGUGGCCCGUCUCACUGGGACUGAGACACUGCCCAGACACCUACGGGUGGCUGCAGUCGAGAAUCUUCGGUAAUGAGCGCAAGCUUGACCGAGCGACGCCGCGUGCGGGAUGAAGGCCUUCGGGUUGUAAACCGCGAAAGUGGGGAGGAAGUCGCUGGGGGUUCUCCCCCAGUGUGACCUAUCCACAG